GACGAACGCUGGCGGCGUGCUUAACACAUGCAAGUCGAACGGAAAGGCCCUGCUUUUGUGGGGUGCUCGAGUGGCGAACGGGUGAGUAACACGUGAGUAACCUGCCCUUGACUUUGGGAUAACUUCAGGAAACUGGGGCUAAUACCGGAUAGGAGCUCCUCCUGCAUGGUGGGGGUUGGAAAGUUUCGGCGGUUGGGGAUGGACUCGCGGCUUAUCAGCUUGUUGGUGGGGUAGUGGCUUACCAAGGCUUUGACGGGUAGCCGGCCUGAGAGGGUGACCGGCCACAUGGGGACUGGGUUACGGCCCAGCCCCCUCCGGGGGGCAGCAGGGGGGAUAUUUGCACAAGGGGCGGAAGCCUGAUGCAGCAACGCCGGGGGGGGGAUGACGGCCUUCGGGUUGUAAACCGCUUUCGCCUGUGACGAAGCUGGAGUGACGGUAAUGGGUAAAGAAGCACCGGCUAACUACGUG
RNAcentral lists this ribosomal RNA (468 nucleotides) under uncultured bacterium. RNAcentral describes it as "partial 16S ribosomal RNA". It matches the Rfam family "Bacterial small subunit ribosomal RNA", at positions 28 to 507 of the family's 1533-position model. The record is from RNAcentral.